AAGACAUGGGCUGAGGUUGCUCCCAGAGGAAAGCCAGAUCCCAGCAGGGCUGAGAAUGAAAGGCUGUCCCUCGAUGCAGGGAAGGCUGCUCAGUGCCCAGAUUCACACCUCAGCCUCGAGCCCAUGCACAGCCAGCAGUUCUCUCUCAGACCCUAGCUGGCAGCUCUGCCCUGUGCCUGUGCCCUGGGGGUUUGUGUGUGUGAGCCUGUGAGAGAGCCAGGGCUCGGCGCUGCGGGAGCGCCGGGCUGCGUUCAGGAGCGCGGCUCCAGCCUGCACGGCGCUGUGCAUUUCAUCCUCCCGCUGCGUGCACAAAGCUGACUGCUCCUGCUCUCUUUGAAGCAGCCGCGGUGCCCCGGAAGGCUGCUCGUGAGGAAACAACCCCUGUGCCCACUGCCAAAGCGCCAGAGCUCCCAGCACCCAGAGUGCCUGAGACGCCUGAAGCUGAGCUCCUGGAAGAGGAGGAAGAGCUGGAAGCAGCAGAAGAGGUGGCAGCAGUAGCUGAGCCUGGAGAGCCAGAAGUCUCUCCAGCUGAAGUGCCUGAGGUGAUUGAGGUGGAAGAGGCAGAAGAGGAGGUGCCAGUGGUCAUUC
This is a long non-coding RNA of Ficedula albicollis (Collared flycatcher), 588 nucleotides long. RefSeq lists it as uncharacterized. Lineage: Eukaryota; Metazoa; Chordata; Aves; Passeriformes; Muscicapidae. The record is from RefSeq and is a predicted model, not a curated record. The transcript is spliced from 3 exons.